UACGAAGGGUGCAAGCGUUACUCGGAAUUACUGGGCGUAAAGGGCGUGUAGGCGGCUCGUUAAGUCGGGUGUGAAAGCCCGGGGCUCAGCUCCGGAAGUGCGUCCGAAACUGGCGAGCUGGAGCGCGGUAGAGGGUGGUGGAAUUUCCUGUGUAGCGGUGAAAUGCGUAGAUAUAGGAAGGAACACCAGUGGCGAAGGCGACCACCUGGACUGAUACUGACACUGAGGUGCGAAAGCGUGGGGAGCAAACAGG
Molecule: ribosomal RNA, 253 nt
Filed under: uncultured prokaryote
Description: partial 16S ribosomal RNA
Rfam family: Bacterial small subunit ribosomal RNA
Source: RNAcentral